AUUGAACGCUGGCGGCAUGCCUAACACAUGCAAGUCGAGCGGAUGAAGGGAGCUUGCUCCUGGAUUCAGCGGCGGACGGGUGAGUAAUGCCUAGGAAUCUGCCUGCUAGUGGGGGAUAACGUCCGGAAACGGGCGCUAAUACCGCAUACGUCCUGAGGGAGCAAGUGGGGGAUCGUCGGACCUCACGCUAUCAGAUGAGCCUAGGUCGGAUUAGCGAGUUGGUGGGGUAAAGGCCUACCAAGGCGACGAUCCGUAACUGGUCUGCGAGGAUGAUCAGUCACGCUGGAACUGAGAAUCGGUCCAGCCUCCUACGGGAGGCAGCAGAGGCGAAUAUUGGACGCAGGGCGGAAGCCUGAUCCAGCCAUGGCGCGUGUGUGAAGAAGGUCUGCGGAGUGUAAAGCACUUUAAGUUGGGAGGAAGGGCAGUAAGUUAAGACCAUGCUGUUUUGACGUUACCAACAGAAUAAGCACCGGCUAACUUGGU
Molecule: ribosomal RNA, 483 nt
Filed under: uncultured bacterium
Lineage: Bacteria
Description: partial 16S ribosomal RNA
Rfam family: Bacterial small subunit ribosomal RNA
Source: RNAcentral